This 253-nucleotide ribosomal RNA is filed under the name uncultured bacterium. RNAcentral describes it as "partial 16S ribosomal RNA". It matches the Rfam family "Bacterial small subunit ribosomal RNA", at positions 524 to 776 of the family's 1533-position model. The record is from RNAcentral.
UACGAAGGGGGCUAGCGUUGUUCGGAAUCACUGGGCGUAAAGGGCGCGUAGGCGGCCUGAUAAGUCGGGGGUGAAAGCCUGUGGCUCAACCACAGAAUUGCCUUCGAUACUGUUAGGCUUGAGACCGGAAGAGGUAAGUGGAACUGCGAGUGUAGAGGUGAAAUUCGUAGAUAUUCGCAAGAACACCAGUGGCGAAGGCGGCUUACUGGUCCGGUCCUGACGCUGAGGCGCGAAAGCGUGGGGAGCAAACAGG